AACCGCUUAUAAAAGGGCGAGGCCUCCGCGUGUAGGCUACAUGAGAUGAGAGACUGUCGUGGUGGGGCCCUGAGGCGGAGGAGGAUUUCAUGGCGCUGAUCUUUCACUGCAGAAUGGAGGAUUUCAUGGCGCUGAUCUUUCACUGCAGAAUGGAGGAUUUCAUGGCGCUGAUCUUUCACUGCAGAAUGGAGGAUUUCAUGGCGCUGAUCUUUCACUGCAGAAUGAAUGAGGUGAUGAGCGCAUCGGAGUGCCACUAGGUGGAGGCUACCGCAGGUGUUCCCUUCAGACCAACAAGUUGCUGAGGACUUUUACAGAAAUGCUUAUCGUGUAGUAAUGGCCAAAAGUUGGCAAUUUGAAACUAAUGUUCUUUCUGGAAACUGAUUUAAUCGGUGAAUUGAGUAAACAAUUUAAAGGGGUUGUCCAGUUUCAGGGGGAAACGGAUAACGUGAUCUGCCUGCAAUAAACAAAUGAUUAUUAAUCACCUGGCCAGUCCCAUACUACUGCUCCAGUUUACCUGGCUGCAGUGGUGACUUUGACAAGUGAGUGACCUCAGCAGUGCACUGAGGAGACAGGACUGGAUGCAGCAGUCACAUGUCAAUGUAACAUCACCACUGCAGCUGGGUUACCCAGACAGUGUGGGAUCUGCCAAAUAAGUAGUAAUGGCUUUAUUGCAAGUGGACCCGCUGUCUGGCUUUAUUUUGAUACCAGACAACCCCAUUAGGUAGGUGAUCUUGGGAAGGAGCCUGGUAAGUGGAGAAAGGAGAUAUCAUAAAGGUUUAUAAUGACUUGCGGAACAUGGUUUUAUUAUUGGUGGGGAAUUUAAGGAUAAUUUUGCUUGUUGUAGAAAUGUUAAAUUUUAGCCCCAUUUCUUAACGCAAUACAUCAGUAGGAGAACCUCCUCCAGGGAUGGUAUAAGGUGGCUGCUUUGACACUGCUCCACUCUGGUCACUGGUCUGCUUGGUUUUGCCGCUCAGCCUGGCUUGCUUGCGAGUUGUGCUGCCACACCCCAGAGGAGCCUGGCAGCAGAUUACUCCCUAUUUAAAACACGUGCAUGCUCUGCGGCGUGUAUGGGACAAUCAUUUCAUGUGCGUUGCCAGCCUUACUUUAGUGCAACCAAUUGAACCAACAAGAUGCUGGCAAGAUGCAUGACAUCAUAUAGAAACCCAAAAAAAAGAAAUCCCGUAGGGACUCUCAUACACAAUAUAUAAAGCUUUAUUAAAUAAUUAUACAA
Bufo gargarizans (Asiatic toad) is the source of this 1231-nucleotide long non-coding RNA. RefSeq lists it as uncharacterized. The record is from RefSeq and is a predicted model, not a curated record. The transcript has 6 exons. NCBI's taxonomy places the organism in Eukaryota, Metazoa, Chordata, Amphibia, Anura, Bufonidae.